CCAGUAGUGUAUGCUUCCCCUCGAGACUAAGCCAUGCAUGCCUCUGACUAGAAGUAGCACGUCUCUCUGAAUCUGCGAACGGCUCCGCAAACCAGUUGUAACACGCGGCGAGCUGGCAUUGGGGUACUGUACGGGUUCGGCCCCACCUUCGGGCGGCGGCCGGCCCUGCGGUCCCCUUUGUCACAUGGACACCCCUGGCAAUUCUGAGGCUAAUACAAGAUUCGUACCACCUGGGCCGUCCCGCACCCACGCUCCCCCCCGGGUAACACCGGGGGGUGCGCGUGGGAUGUGGGCGACCCGGGGGCUGUGCCGGGUAACGCAGAUAACUAUGACUAGCGGCAAUGUUCAUGCAGGACCACCUUACCCAGGGUCGGUGCCCCCCUCCUUUCCCGUGCGUGCCUUCCCCUAACCGGGUCGGCACGCGUGGGUCAGGCAGCCGGGGGUCCUUCCCGGUGGCUCUCGCAAUAGGCUUCUGACCUAUCAACUAGACCGCAGGGCAAUGUCCACGCCGUGGUGACAACGGGUACAGAGGAUAAGGGUUUGAUCCUGGAGAGUGGGCCUGAGAGAUUGCUCACACUUCUAAGGAAGGCAGCAGGCGCGUAACGUUCCCAGUGGGCAAAGCCCGAGGGCGUUAGAGGGCAUAUGGACGACUGCCUUCGGGUGGACGAUCCAAA
This 674-nucleotide ribosomal RNA is filed under the name Physarum pezizoideum. RNAcentral describes it as "SSU rRNA". It matches the Rfam family "Eukaryotic small subunit ribosomal RNA", at positions 17 to 514 of the family's 1831-position model. The record is from RNAcentral. Lineage: Eukaryota; Evosea; Eumycetozoa; Physariida; Physaraceae.